AAUAUCAACUCGCUCCGAGCCGGAGCGGCUAAAUCGGCAGGCCGCCAUGCCCUCCGGCCGAUAGGGCCGGGCCGGAAACAGCCCCGCCUUCCAUCUUUGAAAAGGAGCCGAAAUGACACGCUCA
Molecule: non-coding RNA, 124 nt
Filed under: Candidatus Aminicenantota
Lineage: Bacteria
Description: Candidatus Aminicenantes MoCo sequence
Rfam family: Molybdenum/Tungsten riboswitch aptamer (Moco RNA motif)
Source: RNAcentral